AUUCAUGUCCGUUUAUAGUGAAGGGAUGAGGACAGAGAAGUAGGAGAUGCUGGAAUCAGGGAUGCCACCAGAAGAAAAGAUUUGAAGGACUAAAGAAAGGUCAACAAUGACAAACACCUCACAGGAGUACGGAACGAGAUCAAUGUGUCUGCCGGUGCCAGCUGACAGAUUUCCAUGGAAAGGGAAGGUGCCCGAGUAUGCCAGACAAGGGUGUCAGAACCACUGGAGCUGAAUUUACAGGUGAAAACAUUGUCAGCCAAAAUUAUUUCCUGAAUCCUCUUCCAGUGAGUGAAUGUCCAGGAGACUCCUUGAACUCGUCUAACUCCAAAGCUGGAGAGUAGAUGUACAGUGAAAGAAAUGUUCCUACUUCCAUAUUGCAUAACAGUUUCCUUUGAGUUGAUAGUUUCCGUUCUACAAGGAAGCCCCUAAAAACCCCUGAAAUAAAUAACUGUGACACUGUCUCUGAAACUGACCAGAUUCACUAGACCCCUCCAUCCCCAAAUUGUGAAGACUCUCAGAUAACCUAAGCUGCCUAGAAGAGGCCCAGAAGAGCCCAGCUGUUUGGAGGAGACACUGACCUGGAGCUGCCUAAAAGUUGUGCAGUGCACUUCAGGGUCCCUGCCUUCCUGAGGCGUGGCUCAUACAGAGGUGGGCUUUGGUGAUGCAGCUGUCUUGGAGUCAUUUCUGCUGCUGUAUGUAUCCUCUCACUCAUACUCUGUAAGAAACCCUAGUAAACUAAUUGGUUCUUCAAGUUUGGCUUGAGUAAUGUUCUUGUUUUUUUGUCUCCCCUACCUGGAGUGAGCUUAGCAAUAGUAUCACAUGAAAUGCUGUG
This is a non-coding RNA of Peromyscus maniculatus bairdii (prairie deer mouse), 832 nucleotides long. Lineage: Eukaryota; Metazoa; Chordata; Mammalia; Rodentia; Cricetidae. The record is from RefSeq and is a predicted model, not a curated record.